This 507-nucleotide ribosomal RNA is filed under the name uncultured bacterium. Its description in RNAcentral is "partial 16S ribosomal RNA". It matches the Rfam family "Bacterial small subunit ribosomal RNA", at positions 28 to 507 of the family's 1533-position model. The record is from RNAcentral.
GACGAACGCUGGCGGCGUGCUUAACACAUGCAAGUCGAACGGGCCUUGUCCCCUUUUUUUUUGGGGGUGGGGUUAGUGGCGAACGGGUGAGUAACACGUGAGUAACCUGCCCCUCACUUCUGGAUAACCGCUUGAAAGGGUGGCUAAUACGGGGUGUUCUGGCCUGCUCGCAUGGGUGGGUUUGGAAAGAUUUGACCGGAUUGGUUGUUUUGGUGGGGGAUGGGCUCGCGGCCUAUCAGCUUGUUGGUGGGGUGGUGGCCUGCCAAGGCUCUGACGGGUAGCCGGCCUGAGAGGGUGGGCGGUCACACUGGGACUGAGACACGGCCCAGACUCCUACGGGAGGCAGCAGUGGGGAAUAUUGCACAAUGGGCGCAAGCCUGAUGCAGCGACGCCGCGUGAGGGAUGGAGGCCUUCGGGUUGUGAACCUCUUUCGCCAGUGAAGAAGGUCCUGCUCUUUGUGGUGGGGUUGACGGUAGCUGGGUUAAUGAAGCGCCGGCUAACUACGUG